This 2365-nucleotide long non-coding RNA is filed under the name Homo sapiens (human). RNAcentral describes it as "non-protein coding lnc-ZNF691-3:2". Lineage: Eukaryota; Metazoa; Chordata; Mammalia; Primates; Hominidae. The record is from RNAcentral.
UGGCAGGUCAAUUGCAGGGAUGCCUGCUUUGCCUGUUCACUCACAUUACAGCCCAGGACUCAGUCAAGGAUGCCUACUGGAAGCCUGUUCUUCAGCUUUGGGACUCAGACUGGCUUCCUUGCUCCUCAGCUUGCAGAUGGCCUAUUGUGGGACCUUGUGAUUGUCUCUUUCAGCCCUACCAUUUGGCGGGUCCCGAGUUCUUGUCCUGCAUCCAGGAAGAAUGAGGUAUGCAGACAACUGGAAGAUGGAGUGAAGCUUGUUGAUUAAGAAGAUUUUGUCUUCCCCCUCGUUGCUGAUCUGCUCCUUGAGCAGGCAGAUGACCUUCCUCUGGUCCAGCACCACCUGGAUGUUGAGGUAGAUCACAGCCAGCAGCAGGGCCAACACCAGGAAGACGAAGAAGGUGUUUUCCACCAGGUACCGGUGCGCCCAGGGCAGCCAGGAGCCCCUGGGGCCCGCUGCCUCCAGUUGGGGCACCCACAUCCUGCGGGCCUCGUACAUGGUGUCCAGGGUCCGGAAGGGGCCGCAGAUGGCUGAGGGUGUAGCAGAGGCCAGACGGCAUAGCAGAGGAAGAGGUGGCGCCCAGGAAAGCGGGGAAGCAGAGCAGCGUGAGGAAGAUGGUGCUCACGUGGGAGGCCAGCCAAGGCCGGAGCAGUGCCUGGCAGUUGGCCAAAAGGCUGGUCUACUUGACGUAGAAGACGAGCAGCAGCUUGAUGAUCUGCACCGCGUGGAGGAGCGGCGAGAAAGAGCACCCCCAGCCAGGUCAGAGUCGGCCCGUAAAUCAGCUCCAGAACAUUCCGGGCAAUGUCAAACUCAGGCUUCCGUCUCCUCUUCAGCUUCUUCUCGGAGAUAAUCCUCCACAUCAAUUCCCCGAAAAGCGUGUCCAGCACGUGAGGACGAGUCCAUCACCAGGAACCCAUACAGCACGGGUUCCUCCCAGCACUGGCCCUGCAGGGCGCCCACCCUGCGGCCCUGCCAGUGGUAGCACAGUGUCCCCAGGAUGGCCAGCUUGAGGAUGAAGUUCCUGCAGAUGGCCACGUACAACUCCAGCACCGGGGAGUCAUGCAGCUCCAGGGCGGUCAGGCCAAGGCACGGGUAGGGGCCCCCCAGGUUGAGGGGGCCGACCACCAGAGGCAGGACCAGCAGCGCGGGCUCCUGGCCAGCAGCCUCCGGAUUCUGCAUCAUGAACUCCGAGAAGAUGUGGACGGCCACAGCGCAGCCCAGCGCAGUCCCCAGACACAGGAGCCACAUGAGCCCCAGCAUGGCCGCCUGCCGCAGCCUCCCGCACACGCUCCUGGGGCUCUGCCGCAGCUGCUGCUCGGGCCAGCAGCUCCUUCUCCCGGUGCGAAUGUUGUCUGUUGUCUUGCUGAGGGCGGGGGGCCCGCUUCUGCCUCACCUUGCAGUCCCAGGAGCAGAAGAUAGUGACGGCGUGGAUGCCAGAGGUGCUGCCCACCCGGUAUUAGCAUUAGCUUAGCAUUACUGUAGUGGCUGUAAUACAUGAUGAUGUGGGUGAAGCAGCCUGUGUCUUUGAGGAGCUCCAGGCCAGAGCAGAUGCGGGCAGGGCCCGGCGGGGCGGGCGUGAAGGCGGCCUCCGGGCCCACAAUGAAGGCCACGAGCAGCAGCAGCAGGAAGGCGUUGAAGGCCAGCAGGGUCUUAAGGAAGAGGAAGUAGGAGAGCACGUUGGAGCUGAACUAGCCCCUGAUGCGCUUCAGGACGUAGCGCCACGGCUUCAGGGCCUGCAGGCCCAAGAGCAGCGCCAGCCCCAGGCUGUGCAAGGCCAGCACACAGACAUAUCUGAGCCAACCACAGCAGGAGCAGACUCUGCCAUGGCCCCGCAGGCUCCUCCACUUCCCGCUCUGGGUUCGGCUCUUCUCUCGCAGGCCGCGUUUCUCAGCCAGGCUUAGGGGAAUCCCUCGAAGCACGUGGUCCCGCUGCGCCACAGCCAGGCCCUGGAGCUCCUUCACCAGGAGGCUCCGCUUCUCCUCCUCUUCCUCCCAGGACGUGGGGUCCAGCUUCAGGUCGUACAGACGCAGGCUGUGCCGGGAGGAGCGCACCAAGUCUGCGAGCAGGGGCCGGCCAAUGGUGAGGCUGGGAAUGCUGGCCAGGACGCAGAGUGUGGCCGUGCUGUGGGUGCCCUCGGGCCCCAAGAGUGUCUGCUGGCCACUCGCUGUGGCCACCACCCCUCUCCCUCUGCUACAGCUCCAGCCCCUCCUGGGCCUCCCAGCGGCUCUGCUCUUGGAUGAGCAAGUGGAAGGAGUAGUGCAUUUCAGUCUCAUCGUAGGGGCUGGGCUCCUGGCUGGGAGGCGCCAAGGUGGAGGGAAUGAUAUCUUUUCAACAAGUGGAAUUCACGUUAAUAAAUCAAAGGAGG